GACGAACGCUGGCGGCGUGCUUAACACAUGCAAGUCGAACGGAAAGGCCCUGCUUGCAGGGUACUCGAGUGGCGAACGGGUGAGUAACACGUGGGUGAUCUGCCCUGCACUUCGGGAUAAGCCUGGGAAACUGGGUCUAAUACCGGAUAGGAGCCAUUUUUAGUGUGAUGGUUGGAAAGUUUUUUCGGUGUAGGAUGAGCUCGCGGCCUAUCAGCUUGUUGGUGGGGUAAUGGCCUACCAAGGCGGCGACGGGUAGCCGGCCUGAGAGGGUGGACGGCCACAUUGGGACUGAGAUACGGCCCAGACUCCUACGGGAGGCAGCAGUGGGGAAUAUUGCACAAUGGGCGGAAGCCUGAUGCAGCGACGCCGCGUGGGGGAUGACGGCCUUCGGGUUGUAAACUCCUUUCGCUAGGGACGAAGCUUUUUGUGACGGUACCUAGAUAAGAAGCACCGGCUAACUACGU
RNAcentral lists this ribosomal RNA (464 nucleotides) under uncultured bacterium. Its description in RNAcentral is "partial 16S ribosomal RNA". It matches the Rfam family "Bacterial small subunit ribosomal RNA", at positions 28 to 506 of the family's 1533-position model. The record is from RNAcentral.